UUACUAAAUACGAGGAUCAUGGGGAAUUAUACUUCGAUUGAAGAAAUGGUCAAACCCGACAGCAAGAGCCCAUGGGGAAAUCAUUUUGCAUUCUUGCAGGUUCCCAUUCCCAAGUUGACUGAAUUCUCAAAUGCGCUUAACUUCGUCUGGGAGGCUCAAAAAUUUAUCAAGAUGAAAAGAAAUUCUUUAGCUAUUUAUUUCACUAGUGGGGUAUUGAAGAUGUUGAACAUGUUUGAAGGCCAUGAGGUAAGUAAAUUUAAGAAUUAGUUUGGUAGACAUGAUUGAAUUGAAAUAGAUAAUUUUUACGUAUUAAGGUAUAUUGAAGACGGAAAUGAAUGAUUUUCAUUUGGAAGGGAUCAUAACAGGAUUAGUUAUGAAGAAAAUUUAUUCUUUCUAAUCGUACUAUUUUAUGAAGGACUAUAAUGAACAAGUUUUCUUUAGUUUAGUAUCUAAUCCAUCCAAUUAUGUACACCAAAGGAGCCCUAAGAAAAUGCAUGCGAUAUUACAUAUGUACAACAUUUAUUUAAAACUUAGAAUGCUACUUGUGGUGCAGGCAGCAUCAAGAUACAUCCGUAGAACAUUAAAGAACUCGAGCAUGGCAUUCACAAAUAUGAUUGGGCCCGUGGAACAAAUGUCUUUGGCAAACCAACCAAUAAAAGGAUUAUACUUUAUGUUAGUCGGAUCACCUCAGGUAAGCAACAGGGUCUCAAAAGUUUUGGAAACAAUAUGCAUCGUUUUGUUUUCAAAAUUAGGUGCAUAUAAAAUUAAAAGUUAUAUAAACAUACUUUCACACACACACACACACACACACACACACAUAUAUAUAAGGUGUGUAUUCUCAAUGAUAGCAUAGACAUGUUAUAUAUAUAGGUAACACAAUUUACGUGUACCUGCAGGAUCUUGACAUAUCAGUCCUAAGUUAUAUGGGAAAGGUGAGGCUUACCUUAACAAUGAAAAAAGGCACCAUAGAUCCACAAAAACUGAAGUUGUGCAUGGAAAACGCCCAUGAUAUGAUAUUCAAUGCCUCGGACAAAUAUCCUGUGGAAAAUAGCACUGAAAAAUAGUCACUCAUUUGAAAUUCUACUAUUACACAGAACAAAUUAUAGCGUUAUUAUGCGCAUUUCUGUCGAAAUUUAUAAUUUGAGUAAGAAGUUAUUGAAAACUUACAAAAUAAUACUACAUUUGUAAUAGUUGAUUAAUAACUAUGAUUUUGUUAUUACUUGUGUGUAUUUGAACUUUUUAUUUUGUGAGUAUUCUUAUUAACACGUCAUCUUCAUAUGAGUUGAACCAUCAUUAACUUCAAUUAUUCUUUUAAACUUUUAAUUGUGUAAAUGAUAAAAGAUAUUACGCUUUGAUGUCUAGAUACGUUUAAGAUCCAUAAGUCGCAUUCGGUAGAACCGACUAGAACUCAUAGGUAAAUUAGAUCUGAUAUACAAUACAAUAAAACUUAACAAUAACCUCCAAUAGAAUAAAAAAUAACAAUAACCUCUAGUUCACAGGAAAAAUAGUUAUUCAAAUGAACUCAUCAUUACCAGAAGGUUACAAACUCCAGUCUCUACGUGUCCUCCAUCCUCCUUUUUUCAUUCUCUUCCAUCAUUUUAUUCAUCUGGCUCCAUCAUCUCUUUGACCAUACCAAAUUCCAUUCAACUACUGUUGAUGUUCACCGUAAUUUGUCACGAAUCUAUGGGAGGGUGUGUAGAGCUUUUGGCUCGGGUGUUCGCACCAUCACUUUUGUGAACCCUUGUUGGUCCUCCCCGAUGUUCGCCCUUGUUGGCGAUGUUUCUUGCGGGAUCUGUCAUCUUGCUUGCUUCCUUGGUUCUUGGUUCAGUUUGUGGCGGCAGAUGUUUUGGUGGCUCUACGAGGUUGAUCUAACUUUUUUUUUCUUCAUGUUGGGGUUUUUGUUGUCGAGAUCUCUAGUGCUAGCCAAUCGGUGAUAAGGUUGCUAGGGUUUUGUUUCUAUGUGUUUGUUGUGGACUCAACCUUUAGGCUGGGUUUUGCUCCUGUUUGUUUGUUCUGGGCUCAACUUUUGUGUUGGGUUUUUUGUUUUGGGGGUCCAUCUAUUAGUGUUUAACUUUAUUUGUAAUUGGGCCGUUGUAUAUGUAUGCUUUUUUUUUUUUUUUUUUU
This 2124-nucleotide long non-coding RNA is filed under the name Malus domestica (apple). Its description in RNAcentral is "long non-coding RNA (MDOM_LNC017732)". The record is from RNAcentral. Lineage: Eukaryota; Viridiplantae; Streptophyta; Magnoliopsida; Rosales; Rosaceae.